AUACGUAGGGGGCGAGCGUUGUCCGGAAUGAUUGGGCGUAAAGGGCGCGUAGGCGGCCCGGUAAGUCUGGAGUGAAAGUCCUGUUUUUAAGAUGGGAAUUGCUUUGGAUACUGUCGGGCUUGAGUGCAGGAGAGGUAAGUGGAAUUCCCAGUGUAGCGGUGAAAUGCGUAGAGAUUGGGAGGAACACCAGUGGCGAAGGCGACUUACUGGACUGUAACUGACGCUGAGGCGCGAAAGUGUGGGGAGCAAACAGGAUUAGAUACCCUGGUAGUCCACACUGUAAACGAUGAAUGCUAGGUGUAGGGGGUAUCGACCCCUUCUGUGCCGCAGUCAACACAAUAAGCAUUCCGCCUGGGGAGUACGGCCGCAAGGUUGAAACUCAAAUGAACUGACGGGG
Molecule: ribosomal RNA, 397 nt
Filed under: uncultured bacterium
Lineage: Bacteria
Description: partial 16S ribosomal RNA
Rfam family: Bacterial small subunit ribosomal RNA
Source: RNAcentral